AUUGAACGCUGGCGGCAGGCCUAACACAUGCAAGUCGAACGGUAACAGGAAACAGCUUGCUGUUUCGCUGACAAGUGGCGGACGGGUGAGUAAUGUCUGGGAAACUGCCUGAUGGAGGGGGAUAACUACUGGAAACGGUAGCUAAUACCGCAUAACGUCGCAAGACCAAAGAGGGGGACCCUCGGGCCUCUUGCCAUCGGAUGUGCCCAGAUGGGAUUAGCUUGUUGGUGGGGUAACGGCUCACCAAGGCGACGAUCCCUAGCUGGUCUGAGAGGAUGACCAGCCACACUGGAACUGAGACACGGUCCAGACUCCUACGGGAGGCAGCAGUGGGGAAUAUUGCACAAUGGGCGCAAGCCUGAUGCAGCCAUGCCGCGUGUAUGAAGAAGGCCUUCGGGUUGUAAAGUACUUUCAGCGGGGAGGAAGGGAGUAAAGUUAAUACCUUUGCUCAUUGACGUUACCCGCAGAAGAAGCACCGGCUAACUCCGUG
This 490-nucleotide ribosomal RNA is filed under the name uncultured bacterium. RNAcentral's name for it is "partial 16S ribosomal RNA". It matches the Rfam family "Bacterial small subunit ribosomal RNA", at positions 30 to 507 of the family's 1533-position model. The record is from RNAcentral.